UUUUCAAACAAUUUUUUUCGUCUUACUCUCCCGACGUGGUGGUUUUAUUACAACGGACGGCCGAGGAGAGUCCAAUUCGACGCCGUGUAUCGUGUACGUGUGCGUGAGUGAGUGAGUGAGCGUGUGUUAUGUCCACGUACGCCGACGUCCACGGCGGCCGUCCGCGAGGCGUUUUGUCGUCCGCCACCGCCGCCUCUGUCGUCCGCACUGCAUAAAACCGUCCCUCGCCGCCGUAGUGCCUACCCCGCUAUCGUCCGCGCGACGACCGAGCAGCGCCAGACUCUGCGUAUGAUUUCAACGCCCCGACCGCGUCGUCCUAUAUCGGUGAAGGGAACCGUGUGCCGUCAUCCCCCCAACCCCCUGGGACACUGCACCACCUUGGGACGUAGAUUUUCCGGCGCCUCUCCCGUCAACCGUAAUCUGUAACCUCCUCGCGCCGAAAGUCGAACUUUGACCUCGACAAUCGUGCAAGUCGUAUCGUCGUUUGCUGUGCGACUUAGCAAUGGUUUUGGACCGACGGCGAUGAUAACGGUGCGCGAAAAAUGGUGAUAACGUCGUCGUCGCUGUUGUUUCAUUGCUGCUGUUGGUGCGGCGGUCGCGCGGUCCAAAGCUGACACACGACACUCCGCGCCCUGCGAACGGCCCGCCGAGGGUUUCCAGGUUUACGUAGAUUUUGAACGACUCAAUAAGGAUAUAAUAUGUUGGGAAGCAGUUUGCACCAUCAUCGGAACAUGUCAUUCCCUCACGGUGGUUCUGUAAUACAUAACAAUAUGCCUCCUGCCGUUAGUAAAAAAAUGGGUGGUGGCCGACUGAAUGCCGUAGUGAACAAACUCCAUUUAGCUAAACAAUGUUCAACUGAUAAUACUUUUCCAGACAUGGCUUCUGAAGAAAGCCGUUUAUCUAUAUUACAAAAUUUAUUGAAUCCAGCGCCAUCGUCAAAUUCAGAAAAGAAAAACUUACGUGCGCCUCCAGCGUUGUUUCCGCUCACUUCUGAAGUGACAAUCCAACGUUACCCUGUUGUUCAUCCAAUACAUGAUAGACCGUUGGAUGUUUUCCAAAGACUUAAACGUCUUGGAACAGACAUUGAAAUGGAAGAAAUCGGAAAUGAAACAACACUGAGUCUUAUACCAGUUUCAUCAUCUCAAAAUGCUUCUGUUUCAUGCAUUCCAACAAAUAAUUUUAAAACUAACUCCCCUGCUACCAGUCUCAUAGUUCUGCCAAAAACCAAUGUGUUCAAUAAUAGGAAAAUACCAGAACCAUCUGUUGUUCUCGAAAUGAAAUUAACUCCAAAACCAAAAGCUCAAAAUACAUGUUUUAAUGGGAAAACAGAACUAAAAAGUUAUGUUUUUUCAAUUGAUCAAUCACAAAUAAGUAUAACAAAUAAUGGACAAAAACUAUACUCAUGUAAUGUAUGUUCAGGUAUAUAUCAAAGAAGAGGUGCUCUAAAGAAACACUAUUUAAAGGCACAUAUUAACUAUCAUUUUUUGACAUCUCGUGACUUGCAAAUAGCUGGUUUUAAAGGUGAAAGACUUGAAAAAAUGAUAGAAAAGUGGAAGAAUACAAAAGGUCAUGUAGGUUACUACCAUUGUCAUAAAUGUUAUAUAUCAUUUAGUACAGCUAUUGAUUUACGGCAUCAUGUGAUGAAUCAUCCUCCAGCUUUACAAUCUAAUGCUUUGAAAAAACUACCUGAUAUUGUUACCAAAGUUUGUGAACUAUGUUUAUAUUGUGAUAAAAAAAUAGAAAAUGAAGAAGAUCGAAAAAGCCAUUUGUCCAAGAUGCACCCACCUAAAAGAAGAUGUCAUAUAUGUACAUACUGUCAACUCAACUUUUUUGAUUUGUACACAUUACAUAAACAUAUGUGUACUACUCAUGAAGAUAUGUAUUAUGGCUGUGCAGAAUGUAAAGAACGAUUUAUUUCUAGAGAGUUGGCUAAAAACCAUAAAACCAUUUGUUUGAAUAACUUAUGUAUAAAAUUAGAAUCUGAUAAUAUGAAAAAAGAGCAUUUGAAAGAAGAACCUACAAAAAACGAAAUACUAGAAACGAAAAUAGAUGAACCUAUAAAUAUUAAUAUUAAAAAUGAAUUAUCAGACAAAGAACCAAAAAAAGAAGAAUUAAAAAAAAAUGAAGAACCAAAAAAAGAGGAACUUAAGAAAAACGAAGAACCGAAUAAAGAGGAAUCAACAAAAAAUGAAGAACCAAUUAGAGAAGAGGUUAAAAAGAAAGAAGAAUCCACCAAAAAUUAUCCAUUUUACUGCCCAGACUGUAAAAAAGGAUUUACUCAACAACCAAACUUAGCACGACACAUGAGUUUAGGUCAUGGUAAAAAGUUGGAGUAUAAAAAAUCUAAAAAGUUAUUACAGCCUUCUAAUAAAAUAAUUUUGUCCAAAAAACUUGUGAAAACUCAAGAAAAAGAAUUGAAAGAUGAGAUUCAAGAUUUAUCAGCUAAAGGAACUCAAUAUGUUUUUUUGAAUAAUAAAAAUGAGCUAGUCACAAAACAAGGAGUACCGUUUGAUGUUUCUUAUAUGAAUCUUGAGAUUCAAAGCAGAAUCAGACGUAUGGUGCCUUCUUUGUAUCCUAGUUCAUCACCAAUAGAGGAUGAUAUGAGUUCAUUAGAGGUUGAUGCAGCUUCUUCGUAUGGUUUUCCAAGUUCCCAUGACGAUGAAAGGAAAAAACUUGAAGGAUUCAGUGGGGAAUGGUUAUAUCCACGUAGUUAUAUUUGUUCAGCAUGUCCAGCUACAUGUUCCAAUAUAUGGGAUAUUUUCUACCAUAAAUGGAAUGUACAUCCUAAUGUACUUUGCCAUCAUUAUGACAUACCAUUAGAUCAACUUCCGUCUCAGAAAUGGCGGCCAGAAAGAAAUUUGAGCAGAAUAGGGUUGUUAUCUGAAUGCGAAGAACAACAAACUAGUUUACCACAGUGUACAAAGUGUGGAAAAAUGGAAAACGAUAUUGCUCAACUUCAUAGGCAUUUGUUAGAUUGUGGUGGUGAUACUGAAUGGCUCAAGACAAUGAUUCAUACAACAAAGUCACCUAAUAACAAAAAGUCUAGAAAAAAUUGGCGGCCUUUUAAUUUCCGAAGACGUAAGAAUGGUAGGGCUAGACAUGGUCUUAAACGAACUCCACCUACUCCACCUUUACCAGUUGUAAAAACUAAACCUGGUGAUGCUGAAAGUGUUAGUCGCAUGAUCGCAGAUUUACCUCCUAAAAGAGUUACACGACGUUUAGUAUUUGAGGCUCCUAAUGGGAAUAACCAAGCAACAAUAAAUAGCAAGUCUGUAUGCUCAAAGGUUCCUAUUGAUAUAAGCAGCCGUAAUCCAACUGUUUCAAGUUCAACUACAUUAUUUAGUAAGAAAGUUAAAAAGCCUUUGCCAGUUAUAACUGAAACUGCUAUGCUUAUUUCCGAAGCACCAGAUUUCUUACGUAGUCUUAACAUCAUGCGUGCUCCACUGAAAUCAACUGAACAUAGUCUUCCUGGCAAUAAGACCGAAACUGAAGAAAUAAUUGCUGCCAUGAAAGAAACUUUAAUGGCUUCUCCAGCUCCCAUCCCUGUUAUUUUACCAAAAAAACGCAAAAGACCAAUUUAUGACUUUAAACAAUUAGCUGAGAAAAUUGCCAAGCAUGACCAUAAUGAAAUUCUUGAUUCAAAAGUUGAUGAUGAUAAUGACAAUACAGAAGAAUCUAUUCCUAUUCCUGUGGUAGUAAAAAAUAAAGGCAAAAAAUUGAUGAAUGAAAUAGAGGUUGGAUUGAUAAAGCAAAAUAGGUUACGUAGGAAGAGAGAAAUUCCAUCUGUACCUGAAAAGGUAAUCCCAGUUCCAUCAAAAAAAUUAAAAAUUGAAAAUGUAGAAAAUAACACAAAGAAUAUAGUGGAAUCCAUUCCAGUCAUUAAACCCAAAAAACAGGUUACAACAAAGAAAACACCUAAAGUCCUCAAAAAAAAGACGAUUGAUGAAAAUUUUGUUUCUAAAAUACAAACCCGUAAUAGAAAGAAAAAUUUUAUUGAGGAAUCUAUGUCUAAUAAGAUACUACUUUCAAGUAAAGAUGAUUCUUUAGCAAAUAAUGAAUCGUCUAAUAGUUUUGUUGACUUAGAGUCUAGUCAAGAAGUCUCUUCAUCUGAGGUUCCUCCAAAACAAAAAACAGUUAAAGUUAAUCCUUUUAAACCAAAAGCUAGGAACAGAAGAAAACCAGGAGUUUUUUUUGGGUCAAGAAAACGAAAGCGUAAUUUAAAGACUGAUAAUAAAAAACAACAGCCUACUUCAACUAAAGUUGAUGAUACACCUUCAUCAUUACCAAAGUUAGAGUAUUCGGAUUCAAAUUUAUUAGUUUCGGACGUAAUUGAUAAAGUUGUACAACCAAAAACUAUAAAAACUGAUAAUUCUGUACAAAAUACAUCUCAAGAAUUGAAAAAAUCUGUUGAAAAUGAGUCCACAGUAGUGGCUGUUAAAGAAGAAAAUAAAGCCACAGCUCCAAUUAGUGCUGAUACAUCCGAGUUAAAAGAACCAGAAGAAGUGGCAGAACCACGUUGGCAUUCACAAUCUGAUGCUUUUUUUGACUUACCUUCGGCUAUUAGUUUGGGAUCAAUAUUGAGCUCAGUUAAUCAGAUAUUGGAAGGUCCUGACUGUAAUGUUGCAAAUACAGAAGUAAAUGAUUAUUCGUGGACAGAAUUACAACGUGCAAUGGGGGCCACUGAUGAAGAAAUGGCUAUAUUACAAAAUUUUGGUUCAAACUCAUCUGAAGAAGGCCAAAAUGUAACUAGUGAAAACUGCUUGGAUCUAUUAGACAUGGACUGUGGAGAGGACCCCAAUAGCAAUCAAGAACAAACUGAUACUCAAAUCAAUAGUGAAUUAAAUUUCAAAUGCAAAGUUUGUGAUCAAUGUUAUAAAGGUGUUGCAGCAUUUCGUAUUCAUUCACUUGAUGUUCAUAGUAUUGAAGAUCCAGAAUUGGCUCAUAAUAGAAGGAGGAGCAGAAGAACUCGACGAGCACAUGGCAAAAGACCAUGAAUUUGAUGAUGCUCCAAAUAGUGAAAAUGGAAAAGAGUUGAAAAAUAAAAUGGUUAACAAGUUGGGUGAAAUAUUGGACCAGGCCUUGAAAAAUCUCAUUUCUUCUACACAAAAACCUUGUGCUGGGAAAACCUGGAGUGGUGGUGCAAUAACUUUGUUGGGA
This 5157-nucleotide unclassified non-coding RNA is filed under the name Rhopalosiphum maidis (corn leaf aphid). RNAcentral's name for it is "uncharacterized LOC113549228, transcript variant X2". Lineage: Eukaryota; Metazoa; Arthropoda; Insecta; Hemiptera; Aphididae. The record is from RNAcentral.